UCUCGGUUAGUAUAGUGGUUAGUAUGCGGCCUUGUCACGGCCGAGACCGGGGUUCAAUUCCCCGACCGAGAG
Molecule: non-coding RNA, 72 nt
Organism: Xylariomycetidae sp. FL0641
Lineage: Eukaryota; Fungi; Ascomycota; Sordariomycetes
Source: the annotation of a GenBank genome assembly